AGCUGGUCUGAGAGGAUGAUCAGCCACACUGGGACUGAGACACUGCCCAGACUCCUACGGGAGGCUGCAGUCGAGGAUCAUUGUCAAUGCGCGAAAGCGUGAACAUGCGACGCUGCGUGGAGGAUGACGGCCCUAGGGUUGUAAACUCCUGUCAUGAGGGAAAAACCGUUCCAUCUUUAAUAGGGGUGGGACCUGAUGGUACCUCAAGAGGAAGCCACGGCUAACUCUGUGCCAGCAGCCGCGGUAAUACAGAGGUGGCAAGCGUUGUUCGGAUUUACUGGGCGUAAAGCGUGCGUAGGUGGCUUCGUGUGUCGGGUGUGAAAUCCCAUGGCUCAACUGUGGAAUUGCAUUCGAAACUGCGGAGCUAGAGUGCAGGAGGGGAGAGCGGAAUUCUUGGUGUAGCGGUGAAAUGCGUUGAUAUCAAGAAGAACACCGGUGGCGAAGGCGGCUCUCUGGAAUGUUACUGACACUGAGGCACGAAAGCUGGGGGAGCAAACAGGAUUAGAUACCCUGGUAGUCCCAGCCGUAAACGGUGCGCACUUGGUGUUGGGGGUGUUGACCCCCCCAGUGCCGGAGUUAACGCGUUAAGUGCGCCGCCUGGGGAGUACGGUCGCAAGAUUAAAACUCAAAGAAAUUGACGGGGGCCCGCACAAGCGGAGGAGCAUGUGGCUUAAUUCGAUGCAACGCGAAGAACCUUACCAGGGCUUGACAUAUACCUGCAUGCCCUGUGAAAGCAGGGAGGCCUUCGAGGGUGGUAUACAGGUGCUGCAUGGCUGUCGUCAGUUCGUGCCGUGAGGUGUUGGGUUAAGUCCCGCAACGAACGCAACCCCUGUAUCUAGUUGCCACCGCAGGUGAUGAGCCUGCGAGCACUCUAGAUAGACUGCCCGUACAAGCGGGAGGAAGGUGGGGACGACGUCAAGUCAGUAUGGCCCUUACGUCCUGGGCUGCACACGUGCUACAAUGGUCGGUACAGAGGGAUGCGAGACCGCGAGGUGGAGCAAAUCCCCAAAACCGGCCUCAGUUCGGAUUGGAGUCUGCAACUCGACUCCAUGAAGUUGGAUUCGCUAGUAACGGCGCAUCAGCUACGGCGCCGUGAAUACGUUCCCGGGCCUUGUACACACCGCCCGUCACAUCAUGAAAGCCGUCUGCACCCGAAGUCGCUGAGCCAACCCGCAAGGGAGGCAGGUGCCGAAGGUGUGGGUGGUGAUUGGGAUGAAGUCGAAACAAGGUA
Molecule: ribosomal RNA, 1231 nt
Filed under: metagenome
Description: bacterial SSU rRNA
Rfam family: Bacterial small subunit ribosomal RNA
Source: RNAcentral